GCAGACGGGUGAGUAAUGUAUAGGAAUCUACCUAGUAGUACGGAAUAAUUGUUGGAAACGGCAACUAAUACCGUAUACGCCCUACGGGGGAAAAAUUUAUUGCUAUUAGAUGAGCCUAUAUUAGAUUAGUUAGUUGGUGAGGUAAAGGCUUACCAAGACAAUGAUCUAUAGCUGAUCUGAGAGGAUGAUCAGCCACACUGGAACUGAGAUACGGUCCAGACUCCUACGGGAGGC
This 234-nucleotide ribosomal RNA is filed under the name uncultured Hyphomicrobiales bacterium. RNAcentral's name for it is "uncultured Rhizobiales bacterium partial 16S ribosomal RNA". It matches the Rfam family "Bacterial small subunit ribosomal RNA", at positions 98 to 349 of the family's 1533-position model. Lineage: Bacteria; Pseudomonadati; Pseudomonadota; Alphaproteobacteria; Hyphomicrobiales. The record is from RNAcentral.